Molecule: ribosomal RNA, 481 nt
Filed under: uncultured bacterium
Lineage: Bacteria
Description: bacterial SSU rRNA
Rfam family: Bacterial small subunit ribosomal RNA
Source: RNAcentral
GACGAACGCUGGCGGCGUGCUUAACACAUGCAAGUCACGGGGGCUCGCAAGAGCAACCGGCGAACGGGUGCGUAACACGUGAGCAACCUGCCGAUCUGAGGGGGAUAGCCGGCCCAACGGCCGGGUAAUACCGCAUACGUUCUCGAGGGGGAGUCCUCUUGAGAAGAAACCUCCGGGGCAGAUCGAGGGGCUCGCGGCCUAUCAGCUAGUUGGUGAGGUAACGGCUCACCAAGGCANCGACGGGUAGCUGGUCUGAGAGGAUGGCCAGCCACAUUGGGACUGAGAGACGGCCCAGACUCCUACGGGAGGCAGCAGUGGGGAAUCUUGCGCAAUGGCCGAAAGGCUGACGCAGCGACGCCGCGUGUGGGAUGAAGCAUUUCGGUGUGUAAACCACUGUUGCCCGGGACGAACAUCCUCUUUCGAGAGGACUGACGGUACCGGGUGAGGAAGCACCGGCUAACUCCGUGCCAGCCGCCGCGGU